GCUGCCCCAAAUACCAGCCGCGCCGCCGCAGCCCAAAACCCUAUCUCCCUUCCCGUAAUUCCAGUCGUCGCGCUCCACCCAAAAAUUGAUGCCGCCGCCGCCAAUCGCCGUCCACAGCCGCGCGCCCUAGCCGGCCGGUUGCAACCGCCGUCCCAGCCGCGCGCCCAAGCAGGCCGGCCCCCAACGCCGUCGCCGUGAUCCUAUUACCUGAUGCGGCGGCACCAAACCUCGCAAGGUCGAAGCCCGUACGCCGCCCUUUGUCGCCCACCGUGAGUCACCCCUCCGGUCCUCCCUCCUUACCCCCUCGCCAAGUCCCUAGAGGUCGCUCAACGCUGGAUCUGCCACGACCCUAGGCUCCCAGCUAUCUACGUCCUACUCCUGCCCCUGGCUAUACCUAUGACUGCGUCUCGGCAGCCGGCGCCCUGUGGAAGCCCUCCGCUUCAUAUCCCCGUGCUGUCGUGCAGCCAGCUGCCAGGAGGGACACCUGACCACACAAAAUGGAUAGGUUUUUUUAGCAGCAAACAAGACUUUAUCGAUGUAGUUGAGGCAAUAUUCAGAGGUGCGAUGAAAGGCAAACUGAUAGUGUCUUGCCCCCUUCCUCCUGAGAGGAUACCAAGAUUCUAACUUCUUUUCAAGGAUGUCUGAGAAAACUGCAGCUCAUCACGUGCACACAAUCAGCUACCUAGCCCAAGGUAAGUAGAAAAGCUGAAGCUUCUAUAAGAGAAGCACAACAGAGGGGACAAUGCAGGCGUGUUCGUGCUUCGAAAAAACCUAAUUGUGCUGGAAACAGCCAUUUUCAUUCUCAAGACUUUGCGCAAAUCUCUGCAAUAAUCUAAUGUUGUACUUGUCCAUAUUGCAUGUUUAGGUUUGUAUUUAAUCACGUUCAUCAAAUAUGAUGGGUAUAGAUUUCUUGUUUGGUCUACUAGUCAAGCAAGAGAAUGCCCUUCGUUUUGCUGAGGAUGCAAGUAUGUUCUACUCAAAUAAAUUACUCAUCCAACAUCCUGUGUUUUUCGCUAUUGGUGUCAUAGUAUGUUCUCCCUACAACAUUUUAUUAUUGCAGACCAGUUGUGCUAUGGCACCUGCCUUUAGUGUCUUCCUUACUUCCUAUUCAUAUGGCGAUUCUAUGAGUAUGGCACGAGCAGUAGAAGCUAUAAAGGUAAAAUUGGCCAGCUAUGCAUAACUAUGAAUUCCCAAACACUUGUUUUGACCCUUUUUGUUUGACCAUCAUUUUUUAUUUGCACGUGAACUGCUCAAAUUAUAUGGUACAAAUGUCUUGGGUUAGAGAUGUAAGUUUUUUCUGAACUACUUUGUUUACAUGUGUUUUCAGUAUGCAAAUAUUGCUAUGUCUCAAUUUAUAAAGCAAUAAAAAGUCAUUGUUGUCUAUUUAACACGCACCUUCUGUGACAAUGGCCAUUUCGUCACAAUUAAUGGCGUCACCAAAAUACUACCUAUGACAAAUAAACACUAGUUAGUGACGUAAUCAUAAUGUCACUGAAGGCCUAAAAUGUUGUAGUGUAUUUUGAGUAGCAGCAAGGUGUCCUUGAGUAGCAGCAAGGACACUUGUUUGAUCAACAUAGCACGGACCCUAGCAAGGACACUUGAGUAGUUGCUCUCUAAAAUUCAUGCAGCUCAAUAAGCAGCAGCACGGUGUUGUGAUCAUGCAGUUCUGUUGCGUUCAACUAUUGUAUAUUUAGCUUAAUCAUGGAGCAAUGGUGGUAUCUAUUCUAUAGUUUAUUUUGUAAUGGAUUUCUAAGUAGUCUACUAAUGAUUUGGGUUUUAAUUUUGUCAGGAGGGAGGUCCUAGAGGUAGUAAGUCACUUGUUUACUCCAUGAUGACAAUAGCAAGCAGAUCGCGGUGGUGCCUAUGGAUGCUACAACAAGAAAGAUCAAAAGUUCUUUUGGAUGGAUGCAGCUAGAUAUUUUGUUUUGUAUUUUCUCCAAAAGAGAAAUUUGCAAGUGAACUUAAAAUUGUGAAACCAACAUGUGGUUGUACUAGCUAGUAUCUCUAAGCUUUCACAAGCCAAACUUAGUGUUGUUGCUGCUUAUUUUAAUCUUUAUUACAACAAAAGCAAACUUGUGAACUUUAUGUGAAUGCAGUACAAUUGUUAUUGUCAUGAAUGAAAACAUGAGCUAUGUAUGAAUGCAGUACAAUUGCUAUGUAUGAAUGUA
Molecule: long non-coding RNA, 2168 nt
Organism: Zea mays
Lineage: Eukaryota; Viridiplantae; Streptophyta; Magnoliopsida; Poales; Poaceae
Exons: 3
Source: RefSeq, a predicted model, not a curated record